UGAGCUGUUUUCUGAUUGCUGCUAUUUGCAUUCCUCAAUUCCGAUUAGACGUUAACUCCUAGCGAGACUGAGCAGUGGAAGCAGGAGAGGGCCAAGCCAGCCUUAUGUCAGCUGGCACAGCCCGGCACAAGGACAGAUGAAUGCUGCAGAAGGGAGGAGGAGUUGACUACGGAUGUCCGCACGAAGUUCCUUCAUGGGAGAGAGAGUGUGCUCUUAGCAGAUCCUUCCAAGGCAAAAGAAACGUUCAGGACUGAAAUAUGCUGUGCUUGAAUUCACCUUUGAGCUACAGCACUAGACAUUAAGAUUACAAACAUCUGGUCCAACCCAAAGGUGUGUGUGCUGUUGGAAGUUCUGUGUAUCUGGUUUUGGAUCUCAUUUUUGACAGAGCUCCUGGAGAGAAGAACGUGAGAG
Molecule: long non-coding RNA, 411 nt
Organism: Hirundo rustica (Barn swallow)
Lineage: Eukaryota; Metazoa; Chordata; Aves; Passeriformes; Hirundinidae
Exons: 4
Source: RefSeq, a predicted model, not a curated record